RNAcentral lists this transfer RNA (54 nucleotides) under Candidatus Pacearchaeota archaeon. RNAcentral's name for it is "tRNA-OTHER". The record is from RNAcentral. Lineage: Archaea; Nanobdellati.
AGCCCCAUAGUAUAGUGGUCAAGUAUGCCCCCGGUUCGAAUCCGGGUGGGGCUA